GACGAACGCUGGCGGCGUGCCUAAUACAUGCAAGUUGAGCGCUGAAGGUUGGUACUUGUACCGACUGGAUGAGCAGCGAACGGGUGAGUAACGCGUGGGGAAUCUGCCUUUGAGCGGGGGACAACAUUUGGAAACGAAUGCUAAUACCGCAUAAAAACUUUAAACACAAGUUUUAAGUUUGAAAGAUGCAAUUGCAUCACUCAAAGAUGAUCCCGCGUUGUAUUAGCUAGUUGGUGAGGUAAAGGCUCACCAAGGCGAUGAUACAUAGCCGACCUGAGAGGGUGAUCGGCCACAUUGGGGCUGAGACACGGCCCAAACUCCUACGGGAGGCAGCAGUAGGGAAUCUUCGGCAAUGGACGAAAGUCUGACCGAGCAACGCCGCGGGAGUGAAGAAGGUUGUCGGAUCGUAAAACUCUGUUGGUAGAGAAGAACGUUGGUGGGAGUGGAAAGCUCAUCAAGUGACGGUAACUACCCAGAAAGGGACGGCUAACUACGUG
RNAcentral lists this ribosomal RNA (497 nucleotides) under uncultured bacterium. RNAcentral describes it as "partial 16S ribosomal RNA". It matches the Rfam family "Bacterial small subunit ribosomal RNA", at positions 28 to 507 of the family's 1533-position model. The record is from RNAcentral.